UCUCUCUCUGUCAAAUAAAUAAAUAAAAUCUUAAAAAAAAAAAAAAGAUCAGAAUGCGUUUGUGCAGCCUUGAACAGUUCCCUAAGUUGCCUGACAUCUAACAGUUCAUGCGUUCCUCCUCCUUUAAGGUCAAUAAUUAUAACCCUGGCUUUACACAAAAGAGAGGAAGGUUCAGGCAUCCUAAGUGACCAACCCAAGGACGUGUCAUCAGCAAGGGGCAAAACCUGCACUUAAAUGUUGGCUUGUGGCCCCCAGCACAGUUCUCUACCUUCACCACAGGCUCGGAUACAAAAUGAGGGAAAUGUCUUUAUUGAAGGAGAACGUACAACACUCGGCCACUGUUUCGGAAGCCCAGAAGCACGGUUAUGUGUUUGUCUUGGCACCGACUUCAACUGAGUAAUUUUGGAAAGGGCAAUUCCGGCAGAGGACAAACUGGGAGUGUGGGGCAUUGUAAGCAGUUUGUAUUUCAGGAGCAGGGAGAUGGGAGCCAGGCAGCAGGAGUCAGCUCACGGAGGACGGCUUCAUAUACCACGCGGACCUUGGAUUUUGCCCUCUCAGUAGCAGAUGAGAAGUCACUGAGGACUUUAAGCAAGGAGUAACAUGGAAAUAUUUGCAUUUUGAAAGGUUUCUGGAUGACCCCAGGGAAAACAAAGAGAGAAGGGAGAGGGGAAAACCCCGGUUGAGUACCAUGGAAGCUGCAUGCCGGGUGGUGACAAGUGUCACGGCAUUCACCCUUCCAACAGCAGCCUGACCACCAAACCACGACCCAGGAAAGAUGGUGCCCGAGAGGCUGUCUGUGCUCUGAGAUAAAGCCAGCGGCUAGAGGUCAGACACAAUGGACCUUUCUCAGUGUUCACCCAUGAGCGCUCCUGGCAAGGACCUCGAAACAGUGACAGCUCUCAUCACCUCCCCUAAGCGCAGAGAUGGGAAUGGAGCUUGGCCCAGGUCCCCAACGGCAGGAACAGACGCCACCACCAUCCAGCUCAGCCCUGGGAGAUGGUUCAACGGCAGGGUCGUCUUCGCUCGAGAUAGACCGAAGAGCUCAGCUUUGCAGUUUUUUUAUCUUGAUGACAGAUGUGCUCUUUUUAAAAUGUCACAGAACAAGCAGAACUCUAAGCGAUGCUGCCUGCUUUUCUGUGGCUCAUUCUCAGGACCUUUUGACAGUUCCAAUAUGUCUGUGCUCUUGAGAAAUGGAUUUGGGACAGAGAAAGUGAGAGCCGUCGCUGGAACUCACUGAGGGUCUGCUGGAAAGGCGUAAAAGCCCAAGGGCCAGGGCUGGCGCGGCUCCAGGGAAGGCGGACUGGGAGACAAUGCCGCUCAACUUCACAGUGGGUUUCUGUGCUGAUACUUGUUUGGCCGGAGAGCAACACGUUGGACUGUGCUUUUUGAUGACAACUGACCAGAAGUCUGGUUACCUCGCAAGGAAAUUCUAUGACGUUUCAGUGAUAUUUAGAAGACUUCUCACAACACAUGGUCAAGUUAAAAAUAACAGUUCAGGGGCGCCUGGGUGGCUCCAUCAUUAAGCAUCUGCCUUUGGCUCAGGUCAUGAUCUCAGGGUCCUGGGAUCGGGCCCCACGUUGGGCUUCCUGCUCUGCUGGGAAGCCUGUUUCCCCCUCACCCACUCCCCCUGCUUGGGCUCCCUCUGUCGCUGUGUGUGUGUGUCUCUCUCUCUCUCUCUGUCAAAUAAAUAAAUAAAUAAAAUCUUUUAAUUAAAAAAAAAAUAAAAAUAACAGUUCAUUCUGAUUCAGUUUUGUCCAUUUGUGGGGACAGAGGGACUGGGAGGGCAUUGUAUUACUUAGGAUGUGGGAAUAUAAAGAACAGAGACUCACCAAGACUGCUCAAAAAACAAACGAACAAAAACAAAAACCAAGUUCCUUGCAAGGAAACACCUGCACCUAUACAUAAGCAAAGCUGGGAAACAGUAAGAGUGAGGAUUAUUCUGGAAUCAAGGCAGGUCCAAAGGGCUCAGCCACAGGAGCCGAACCUCUGGAAGCUUUGCUCUGCAGUUGGGACUGGUCAGCUUCCUCACGCCCUCUUCUGUAGUUUCUCACCUUCUCACACCUUCUCCUUACAUUUUCUGUUUCUCCACAAUUCGGGCUUGCAAAGGACCCAUCAGGGCUGCACUGUUCCUCCUCGUGUGAUUCUUGAAGCCAGGUCCCCUCUGCUAGCCACCAGUCUGUCUGCAGCUCCUGGUUCUAAUACCCAGGAGAGGAGAGCUUUGGCCCACCCUGUCUGUGCCCAGCCCAUGGAAACCAGCCUGCAUCAGGCUACCUGGGCUCCUGGUCCCCGUACAAGGAUCGAGCUAACGUGCAUGACUUUGAUUUAGUUCCUCAGCACUGUGGCCGGUGGGGCAACAAUGGUGCAAUCAGACAAGACACACGACAUAUUGAGUGGACUGAAAGGCGAAUGAUUGGGAAGGUUACCAGCCCGCACUGGUGACAGGACACCGUGGACAAGUUCUGUGCCCACUCACGUUGUCUGCCCCACGCGUCCCGCAGAACGUGCAGUGACCUUGGGCAGCUCCCAGGUGUCUUCCACCGUGGCUAGUCUGGGCUUGCAGCACCCAGAGGAGAAUCCCCAGCCUUGCCUGCCAGGCCUAUCUGCUCAGUUUCCCUGUUUUCUAGCAGGAAAGCUGAAUUUCAGGAUGAACUGUGAGUUGUUUUUUCAAUCUGUUUUAUGAGCCCUUAAUCAUCAGGAAAAUCGAGCAUUAAAAAGAAAAGUGCAUGUUUAUUUUUCUUUUUGUCGAGACCUUGAAAACAGAAGAGGGAUGGGAGAAAUGACAAAAAGCCACGGCGGUCAGGUGAUACACAUGCAGGAGACAUGCUUCUUUGCCGAAGUGGGCACGCCUCAUUCUGCCCACUAGACUCCUAUGCAGCCGCAGGGAAAAGCAGGGGGGCUCUUCUGUCUGAAUGUUGUCUCCAGAACUGCCCAACACCUGCACCUCUUGAAUUUCAUUCAAGAUUCCUAAUCAAUAAGAGAAUGUGUUCUUUGUGGCUGGCAUCCUGCCACUAGCCCCAAGAAUCACUUAAGAGUCUGUACUUCGGGCCCUUCUGGAAGGAGUUCUUUGUUUGAAGCUCUGUACUUGCCUAAAAAGGUCCCUUGGAGGAAAUCUGGUAUGUCUAUUCAGAACGACUCACAAAAGGGAGAGUGGUAAACACUCUGAUUGACAAGCUUUGCUUUAAUAAAUUAACAAUUACCUUAAAAUGAUUACAAUCUUGUGUUUCCUCCUCCCCACCCUGGGGGUUCUGGGUCUGGCCAAAUAUACGAGUUCUCUGUGAAACUGGCAAUAGCAGGGAAAUUCCAAGUCAAGAAUGUGAUGGAGGCCCUGCAGGAGGGACCGGCUGGGGCUGUAGAAAAGCCAUGAAGAGGCAGUCAUCUCAUAGAUUAUAAAUGAAGCAACAGAUGUGAUCUACUGCUUAGCAUGUUUUAUGGGACCACAGAUACAUUCUUCUUAAAGAUCCUUCUCCUGGAAUUUUAAAAUGAAGGCGUGGUUUCUAGCUGGUGUUUUUGUUGGUUCUGAUUAGUUUAAGGAAGUGGAGCAUAGCUGUUUAAAUGCACGUUAGGGACUGAAUUUAUACUCCUGACCGCCUCUGUAAGGACAAAGAAGUAAAUCCCAUGAUAGUAAAAGGCACGAACCACAUGACUACCAGCCGUAAAAUCUUACUGCUCAAAUCUUGGAUCCUAUCUGGAAAUAAUUUAUUAGAAUUUGAGAGCUGAAAAUACGUCAUUAUCCAAAACACGACUAGAUCAACAGGUGGAGUCUAUCAGUUAUAAUCAAGACUCCUUAGGUUAAGAUUUUUAUCAGAGACUCUGGGUAUCUAGUUACUCAUAGAGACUUAUUAUUAUUUUUUUCUGCAAAAUGGACAUUUUUAGGAAGAAUAUCUGUUCAUGUCUUUUUAAAAUUUAAAUUUUAUUUAUUUAUUUUUAAAGAUUU
This is a long non-coding RNA of Mustela putorius furo (domestic ferret), 3934 nucleotides long. NCBI's taxonomy places the organism in Eukaryota, Metazoa, Chordata, Mammalia, Carnivora, Mustelidae. The record is from Ensembl.